Molecule: ribosomal RNA, 424 nt
Filed under: uncultured bacterium
Lineage: Bacteria
Description: bacterial SSU rRNA
Rfam family: Bacterial small subunit ribosomal RNA
Source: RNAcentral
UGAGGAAUAUUGGUCAAUGGGCGCGAGCCUGAACCAGCCAAGUAGCGUGAAGGAUGACUGCCCUAUGGGUUGUAAACUUCUUUUGUCCGGGAAUAAAACCGCCUACGUGUAGGCGCUUGUAUGUACCGGUACGAAUAAGCAUCGGCUAACUCCGUGCCAGCAGCCGCGGUAAUACGGAGGAUGCGAGCGUUAUCCGGAUUUAUUGGGUUUAAAGGGAGCGCAGACGGGUUUUUAAGUCAGCUGUGAAAGUUUGGGGCUCAACCUUAAAAUUGCAGUUGAUACUGGAGACCUUGAGUGCAGUUGAGGCAGGCGGAAUUCGUGGUGUAGCGGUGAAAUGCUUAGAUAUCACGAAGAACUCCGAUUGCGAAGGCAGCUUGCUAAAGUGUAACUGACGUUCAUGCUCGAAAGUGUGGGUAUCAAACAG